AAUAACAUGCCUGAUAAAAGGUUUAUUUUGAUAGAAUAUUAAAUGUUGAUUAAUUCAUCUGUUAUUG
This 67-nucleotide transfer RNA is filed under the name Orthogonalys pulchella. RNAcentral describes it as "tRNA-Ile". Lineage: Eukaryota; Metazoa; Arthropoda; Insecta; Hymenoptera; Trigonalidae. The record is from RNAcentral.